This 398-nucleotide ribosomal RNA is filed under the name uncultured bacterium. RNAcentral describes it as "partial 16S ribosomal RNA". It matches the Rfam family "Bacterial small subunit ribosomal RNA", at positions 360 to 772 of the family's 1533-position model. The record is from RNAcentral.
AAUAUUGCGCAAUGGAGGAAACUCUGACGCAGUGACGCCGCGUGCAGGAUGAAGGUUUUCGGAUUGUAAACUGCUUUAGAUAGGGAAGAAAAAAAUGACGGUACCUAUAGAAUAAGCUCCGGCUAACUACGUGCCAGCAGCCGCGGUAAUACGUAGGGAGCAAGCGUUAUCCGGAUUUAUUGGGUGUAAAGGGUGCGUAGACGGAUUUGCAAGUUGGCUGUGAAAUCCCGAGGCUUAACUUCGGAAUUGCAACCAAAACUACAAGUCUUGAGUACUGGAGGGGAAUGCGGAAUUCCUAGUGUAGCGGUGAAAUGCGUAGAUAUUAGGAAGAACACCGGUGGCGAAGGCGGCAUUCUGGACAGUAACUGACGUUGAGGCACGAAAGUGUGGGGAGCAAA